This 423-nucleotide ribosomal RNA is filed under the name uncultured archaeon. RNAcentral's name for it is "partial 16S ribosomal RNA". It matches the Rfam family "Archaeal small subunit ribosomal RNA", at positions 323 to 746 of the family's 1478-position model. The record is from RNAcentral.
CUACGGGCCGCUCCAGGCGGGAAACCUUUACAAUGCACGCAAGUGCGAUAAGGGGAUCCAAAGUGCUCAUACAUUGUAUGGGCUUUUGCCAAGUGUAAAUAACUCGGCGAAUAAGUGGUGGGAAAGACCGGUGCCAGCCGCCGCGGUAACACCGGCGCGCACAAGUGGUGAUCACAUUUAUUGGGCCUAAAGCGUUCGUAGCCGGCUAAAUAAGUUCUCUGUGAAAUCGUACAGCUUAACUGUACGGCGUGCAAAGAAUACUGUUUAGCUAGAGACUGGGAGAGGUAAGAGGUAUUUCUGGACAAGCGGUUAAAUGUUAUAACCCUAGAAGGACCAUCGAUGGCGAAGGCAUCUUACUAGAACAGGUCUGACGGUGAGGAACGAAAGCCAGGGGAGCAAUCCGGAUUAGAUACCCCGGUAGUC